GGCUAGGUAGCUCAGUUGGUAGAGCAGCGGACUGAAAAUCCGCGUGUCGGCGGUUCGAUUCCGUCCCUGGCCACCA
This 76-nucleotide transfer RNA is filed under the name Acidobacteriota bacterium. Its description in RNAcentral is "tRNA-Phe". It matches the Rfam family "tRNA". Rfam says of the family: Transfer RNA (tRNA) molecules are approximately 80 nucleotides in length. Their secondary structure includes four short double-helical elements and three loops (D, anti-codon, and T loops). The record is from RNAcentral. RNAcentral also lists the same sequence under 1 other name. Lineage: Bacteria; Pseudomonadati; Acidobacteriota.